RNAcentral lists this non-coding RNA (223 nucleotides) under Streptococcus sp. RNAcentral's name for it is "T-box sequence". It matches the Rfam family "T-box leader". Rfam says of the family: Uncharged tRNA acts as the effector for transcription antitermination of genes in the T-box leader family. T-boxes are found upstream of many aminoacyl-tRNA synthetase genes and some amino acid biosynthetic genes usually in Gram-positive bacteria. Lineage: Bacteria; Bacillati; Bacillota; Bacilli; Lactobacillales; Streptococcaceae. The record is from RNAcentral.
UAAAAUAGAAUCAUUCAGAUAAGUAGUAAAAAGAAACUUUCAGAGAGGUCGUGGUUGUUGAAAACGGCUAGUGGAAUUUUAUGAAAUUGGGCUGAAGUGUAAAAUGAAUUUGAAGGAAUAAAAAUUCGGUAGGCACACCUUAUAGUGCAGUCCUUGUUAGGGGAUUAGAGUGGAAAGAAAAUUUUCUUUCAAGUGAGGUGGCACCGCGUUCAUCGUCCUCACA